GGUUGAUGGUUAGGGUAGUCCUUAAGAAGAGAUUUGAACCUCUCCCAUGCAUGAUAUAAGUUCUUAUAUGGAUUUUGCUUAAAACUUAAAAUUUCAUUGUUUAACCU
Molecule: small nucleolar RNA, 107 nt
Organism: Capsicum annuum
Lineage: Eukaryota; Viridiplantae; Streptophyta; Magnoliopsida; Solanales; Solanaceae
Source: RefSeq, a predicted model, not a curated record